Cataglyphis hispanica is the source of this 1121-nucleotide RNA transcript. RefSeq lists it as uncharacterized. Lineage: Eukaryota; Metazoa; Arthropoda; Insecta; Hymenoptera; Formicidae. The record is from RefSeq and is a predicted model, not a curated record. The transcript is spliced from 4 exons.
ACUGCUUCAAGAAGUGUGAUUCAAGUUAUUUAGUCUUAUUUUUUAAGUUUGGAUGUUAAUAAAAAAUGGAAAUUGUAGCGAUUACAAGUGCACUUAUUCUCGUGAAAAUAUUAAUAUGUUAUACAUUAUUACAAAAGUGUAAAACAGUCCAAAAAAUAAAAAAGGAAAUUGUAAAAAUUAGUGAAAAAAUGUGCAAAGAGACAGAAAAUUGUAUCCAGAAUACAUUAGAAAUGCAAAGCAACCAGAACAAUAAACAGAAUACAAAAUCUGUUGAAAUAACUGUAAAAAAAAGUCCACCAGAAAAACCACCUCGUGCAUUUAGGCCAUUGCAUGUAAAGCCUAUGGAAAAAUGUGAUAAUUCAAAGAAUAAUUCAGAGGAAACUAUUUUAAAAAAUAAUUUUAAAAUAUUUUCAAAUGACGAUUAUAUAAGGUUAUAUAACAACUUAAUAGUUACUUAAAAAUACAAAAUUGUGCAAAUUUUAUUGAUUGGAUUCAUUAUGCAUAAGUCAAAAGAUUAUAAUGGUGGACGUUAUUGCGAUCAAUGUCAUCGACUCUCGUGUGAAAAAGAAGCUGGAAUUCAAGAAAUAAUACAUUCUAAUGAUGUCUUAUAUACCAGCAAUGAAUUGCAGGAACAAAUACCGUCUUCUGAAAUCGAUAUUGAUUCUUCAAAAUCAAUCCCGCAGAUUCCAGAAUUGGCAAAAAUAUUGCAAUUAAGAUUCCUUGUGACAAAUUCUUCGGAAUCUAGAAAUUCACAAUUUUAUAGCGAUGAAAUAAUUAUUAAAAAUAAUGAAACUAAUUUUAUGGAAUUGCCAAAAAAUAUGUAUAAGGAAUUAGGAAAAAAUAUCCAUCCAUUAACAUCGACAAAAAUACAACCAAAAAAUACGUUCUUUUACAAAUUACGUAAGUAUUUUAUUGCAGCAUUUCGUCGAAUUAAAAAUAAAUGUCAAUGAUAAAAAUAGACACAAAUAUCCGUUGUUUGAAAUAAUUGCCCAAAAGUGUACUUAACGUUUAUAACACGCUAUAAAUAUCAAAAUUAAUUUAGUCAAGCGAACGAUUUCAUCAACGUUCUUUUGAAAAAAAAUUAUUUAUUUAUUUUUUUGUUAUUAUAUUUAAAAAUAUUA